AGCGAACGCUGGCGGCAGGCUUAACACAUGCAAGUCGAGCGGGCGUAGCAAUACGUCAGCGGCAGACGGGUGAGUAACGCGUGGGAGCAUACCUUUUGGUUCGGAACAACACAGGGAAACGUUGUGCUAAUACCGGAUAAGCCCUUACGGGAAAGAUUUAUCGCCGAAGAUUGGCCCGCGUCUGAUUAGCUAGUUGGUGAGGUAACGGCUCACCAAGGCGACGAUCAGUAGCNGGUCUGAGAGGAUGAUCAGCCACAUUGGGACUGAGACACGGCCCAAACUCCUACGGGAGGCAGCAGUGGGGAAGUAUUGGACAAUGGGCGAAAGCCUGAUCCAGCCAUGCCGCGUGAGUGAUGAAGGCCCUAGGGUUGU
RNAcentral lists this ribosomal RNA (372 nucleotides) under uncultured bacterium. Its description in RNAcentral is "bacterial SSU rRNA". It matches the Rfam family "Bacterial small subunit ribosomal RNA", at positions 29 to 426 of the family's 1533-position model. The record is from RNAcentral.